Molecule: ribosomal RNA, 142 nt
Filed under: uncultured bacterium
Lineage: Bacteria
Description: partial 16S rRNA
Rfam family: Bacterial small subunit ribosomal RNA
Source: RNAcentral
CAGUGGGGAAUAUUGCACAAUGGAGGAAACUCUGAUGCAGCGACGCCGCGUGAGUGAAGAAGUAUUUCGGUAUGUAAAGCUCUUUCGGCAGGGAAGAUAAUGACGGUACCUGCAGAAGAAGCACCGGCUAAAUACGUGCCAG